Molecule: ribosomal RNA, 253 nt
Filed under: uncultured bacterium
Lineage: Bacteria
Description: partial 16S ribosomal RNA
Rfam family: Bacterial small subunit ribosomal RNA
Source: RNAcentral
UACGGAGGGGGCUAGCGUUGUUCGGAAUUAUUGGGCGUAAAGGGCGCGUAGGCGGCUUGGCAAGUGGAAGGUGAAAUCCCUCGGCUUAACCGAGGAACUGCCCUCCAAACUGCUUCGCUUGAGACCGGGAGAGGUGAGUGGAAUUCCCAGUGUAGCGGUGAAAUGCGUAGAUAUUGGGAGGAACACCAGUGGCGAAGGCGGCUCACUGGACCGGAACUGACGCUGAUGCGCGAAAGCGUGGGGAGCAAACGGG